Long non-coding RNA from Anolis carolinensis (green anole), 995 nucleotides. RefSeq lists it as uncharacterized. NCBI's taxonomy places the organism in Eukaryota, Metazoa, Chordata, Lepidosauria, Squamata, Anolidae. The transcript is spliced from 3 exons. The record is from RefSeq and is a predicted model, not a curated record.
GCCCCGCCCAGCCAAUCAAAAGGCAGACAGGGCGUGGCUUCUGACCGCCGGCUGUUUAAAAAGCCCCGCCCACUGCCAGGGUUCACGGCUGGAAUCAUUGUGUGGAGGAGGGGGGAGAGGAAAGAGAGCGGCGUGUCUGGAGGAGGCGGGGCUUAAAGUACUCCGAAAGGCUCCGCCCACUCUCGAAAGGGGCGUGGCCUCCGCCAUUGAGGAAUUCUCCCUCGGCAUGUACGCGGCUACUACAGCCACGCAGAGUGCGUGCCAAUGUAAAUACAUGGGUGGCGAGACGGUGAGCACGGCGCAUGCGCGGGUCAAGUGCCUUUGGGCCACAUAAUACAUGUUGAGUAGCCCUGGAAUGAAAUGCUUGCAGCAGAAAUAGUUUGGGAUUGUUUAUUUAAUUAAUUUAUAGUGUUAUAGUAUAUUAUAGCAAUUCUUUUUUUUCGUGUCAGGAGCGACUUGAGAAACUUCCAAGUCGCUUCUGGAGUGAGAGAAUUGGCCGUCUGCAAGGACAUUGCUCAGGGGACGCCCGGAUAUUUUUGAUGUUUUUACCAUCCUUGUGGGAGGCUUCUCUCAUGUCCCCGCAUGGAGCUGGAGCUGACAGAGAGAGCUCAUCCGUGCUUUCCCCGGGUUGGAUUCGAACCUGGCAGCCUUCAGGUCCUGGGCAAUGCAUUACAAAAUGGCCUCACUUCUCCUGCUACCGACAUGAAAUUCAGGAUGGCAGGGAUAGCCUAACAUAUCCAGAACUGAUAGAAGCACUGUCUAGGUAAGUAUUUUUCUCAAGUAAUGGCCCAGUUUUCCAAUUAGAAUAGAUACUCUUUGCUACUGUUUUAUUACACUAUAUUAAAAAAAUUGAAAAAAAUCUGUUCCUGGUUGAAAGUGUUAAUUUCUGUUUAAUUGUGCGAUACUUACUUUGAAAGUAGUUGUUAUACUCCAGAAACUUUGUUUUUUGUGACUGAAGGUAGUACUAUUGUUACCUCAAUCUAUUCCAGGCAUGG